This 553-nucleotide ribosomal RNA is filed under the name uncultured Nitrososphaerota archaeon. RNAcentral's name for it is "bacterial SSU rRNA". It matches the Rfam family "Archaeal small subunit ribosomal RNA", at positions 325 to 879 of the family's 1478-position model. Lineage: Archaea; Thermoproteati; Nitrososphaerota. The record is from RNAcentral.
ACGGGGUGCAGCAGGCGCGAGAACUUUGCAAUGUGCGAAAGCACGACAAGGUUAAUCCGAGUGGUUUCUGCUAAAGAAACCUUUUGUCAGUCCUAGAAACACUGAUGAAUAAGGGGUGGGCAAGUUCUGGUGUCAGCCGCCGCGGUAAAACCAGCACCUCAAGUGGUCAGGAUGAUUAUUGGGCCUAAAGCAUCCGUAGCUCGUUUUGUAAGUUUUCGGUUAAAUCCAUGCGCUUAACGUAUGGGCUGCCGGGAAUACUGCAUAACUAGGAAGUGGGAGAGGUAGACGGUACUCGGUAGGAAGGGGUAAAAUCCUUUGAUCUAUUGAUGACCACCUGUGGCGUAGGCGGUCUACCAGAACACGUUCGACGGUGAGGGAUGAAAGCUGGGGCAGCAAACCGGAUUAGAUACCCGGGUAGUCCCAGCUAUAAACUAUGCAAACUCAGUGAUGCAUUGGCUUGUGGCCAAUGCAGUGCUGCAGGGAAGCCGUUAAGUUUGCCGCCUGGGAAGUACGUACGCAAGUACGAAACUUAAAGGAAUUGGCGGGGGAGCAC